RNAcentral lists this ribosomal RNA (408 nucleotides) under uncultured bacterium. RNAcentral describes it as "bacterial SSU rRNA". It matches the Rfam family "Bacterial small subunit ribosomal RNA", at positions 355 to 762 of the family's 1533-position model. The record is from RNAcentral.
UAAGGAAUAUUGGUCAAUGGACGCAAGUCUGAACCAGCCAUGCCGCGUGAAGGAUGAAGGUCCUCUGGAUUGUAAACUUCUUUUGAAUGGGACGAAACCCUGGUAUUUUAUCAGAUUGACGGUACCAUUAGAAUAAGCACCGGCUAACUCCGUGCCAGCAGCCGCGGUAAUACGGAGGGUGCAAGCGUUAUCCGGAUUCACUGGGUUUAAAGGGUGCGUAGGUGGGUCUGAAAGUCAGUGGUGAAAUCUCCGGGCUCAACCCGGAAACUGCCAUCGAUACUACAGGUCUUGAAUUUUCUGGAGGAUAGCGGAAUAUGUCAUGUAGCGGUGAAAUGCUUAGAUAUGACAUAGAACACAAUUGCGAAGGCAGCUAUCUACAGGGACAUUGACACUGAGGCACGAAAGCGU